GAUGAACGCUGGCGGCGUGCCUAACACAUGCAAGUCGAACGGAAAGGCCAGUGCUUGCACUGGUACUCGAGUGGCGAACGGGUGAGUAACACGUGGGUGAUCUGCCCUGCACUUCGGGAUAAGCCUGGGAAACUGGGUCUAAUACCGGAUGGGACAAUGGUUUGGAUGCCGUUGUGGAAAGUUUUUUCGGUGUGGGAUGAGCUCGCGGCCUAUCAGCUUGUUGGUGGGGUAAUGGCCUACCAAGGCGUCGACGGGUAGCCGGCCUGAGAGGGGGUACGGCCACAUUGGGACUGAGAUACGGCCCAGACUCCUACGGGAGGCAGCAGUGGGGAAUAUUGCACAAUGGGCGCAAGCCUGAUGCAGCGACGCCGCGUGGGGGAUGACGGCCUUCGGGUUGUAAACUCCUUUCGCUAGGGACGAAGCGUAUUUGUGACGGUACCUGGAGAAGAAGCACCGGCUAACUACGUG
This 468-nucleotide ribosomal RNA is filed under the name uncultured bacterium. Its description in RNAcentral is "partial 16S ribosomal RNA". It matches the Rfam family "Bacterial small subunit ribosomal RNA", at positions 28 to 507 of the family's 1533-position model. The record is from RNAcentral.